CUCCGGUUGAUCCUGCCGGACCCGACUGCUAUCAGAGUGGGACUAAGCCAUGCGAGUUAACAUAGCAAUAUGUGGCAUACGGCUCAGUAACACGUAGUCAACAUGCCCAGGGGACGUGGAUAACCUCGGGAAACUGAGGAUAAACCGCGAUAGGUCAUCACUUCUGGAAUGGGUAAUGACUUAAAUCUAUAUGGCCCCUGGAUUGGACUGCGGCCGAUCAGGCUGUUGGUGAGGUAAUGGCCCACCAAACCUGUAACCGGUACGGGCUCUGAGAGGAGGAGCCCGGAGAUGGGCACUGAGACAAGGGCCCAGGCCCUAUGGGGCGCAGCAGGCGCGAAACCUCUGCAAUAGGCGAAAGCUUGACAGGGUUACUCUGAGUGAUUUCCGUUAAGGAGAUCUUUUGGCACCUCUAAAAAUGGUGCAGAAUAAGGGGUGGGCAAGUCUGGUGUCAGCCGCCGCGGUAAUACCAGCACCCCGAGUGGUCGGGACGUUUAUUGGGCCUAAAGCAUCCGUAGCCGGUUCUACAAGUCUUCCGUUAAAUCCACCUGCUUAACAGAUGGGCUGCGGAAGAUACUAUAGAGCUAGGAGGCGGGAGAGGCAAGCGGUACUCGAUGGGUAGGGGUAAAAUCCGUUGAUCCAUUGAAGACCACCAGUGGCGAAGGCGGCUUGCCAGAACGCGCUCGACGGUGAGGGAUGAAAGCUGGGGGAGCAAACCGGAUUAGAUACCCGGGUAGUCCCAGCUGUAAACGAUGCAGACUCGGUGAUGAGUUGGCUUAUUGCUAACUCAGUGCCGCAGGGAAGCCGUUAAGUUUGCCGCCUGGGGAGUACGGUCGCAAGGCUGAAACUUAAAGGAAUUGGCGGGGAGCA
This 867-nucleotide ribosomal RNA is filed under the name uncultured archaeon. Its description in RNAcentral is "bacterial SSU rRNA". It matches the Rfam family "Archaeal small subunit ribosomal RNA", at positions 1 to 878 of the family's 1478-position model. The record is from RNAcentral.